This 501-nucleotide ribosomal RNA is filed under the name uncultured bacterium. Its description in RNAcentral is "partial 16S ribosomal RNA". It matches the Rfam family "Bacterial small subunit ribosomal RNA", at positions 28 to 523 of the family's 1533-position model. The record is from RNAcentral.
GAUGAACGCUAGCGACAGGCUUAACACAUGCAAGUCGAGGGGCAGCGGGGGUAGCAAUACCCGCCGGCGACCGGCGCACGGGUGAGUAACGCGUAUGCAACUUACCUAUCAGAGGGGGAUAACCCGGCGAAAGUCGGACUAAUACCGCAUGAAGCAGGGGCCCCGCAUGGGGAUAUUUGCUAAAGAUUCAUCGCUGAUAGAUAGGCAUGCGUUCCAUUAGGCAGUUGGCGGGGUAACGGCCCACCAAACCGACGAUGGAUAGGGGUUCUGAGAGGAAGGUCCCCCACAUUGGUACUGAGACACGGACCAAACUCCUACGGGAGGCAGCAGUGAGGAAUAUUGGUCAAUGGGCGCGAGCCUGAACCAGCCAAGUCGCGUGAGGGAUGAAGGUUCUAUGGAUCGUAACCCUCUUUUAUAAGGGAAUAAAGUGCGGGACGUGUCCUGUUUUGUAUGUACCUUAUGAAUAAGGAUCGACUAACUCCGUGCCAGCAGCCGCCGCCG